Molecule: ribosomal RNA, 454 nt
Filed under: Abiotrophia defectiva
Lineage: Bacteria; Bacillati; Bacillota; Bacilli; Lactobacillales; Aerococcaceae
Description: bacterial SSU rRNA
Rfam family: Bacterial small subunit ribosomal RNA
Source: RNAcentral
GACGAACGCUGGCGGCGUGCCUAAUACAUGCAAGUCGAACGAACCGCGACUAGGUGCUUGCACUUGGUCAAGGUGAGUGGCGAACGGGUGAGUAACACGUGGGUAACCUACCUCAUAGUGGGGGAUAACAGUCGGAAACGACUGCUAAUACCGCAUAGGACAUGGAAUUACAUGAUUCAGUGAGGAAAGGUGGCGCAAGCUAUCGCUAAGAGAUGGACCCGCGGUGCAUUAGCUAGUUGGUAGGGUAAGGGCCUACCAAGGCGAUGAUGCAUAGCCGACCUGAGAGGGUGAUCGGCCACAUUGGGACUGAGACACGGCCCAAACUCCUACGGGAGGCAGCAGUAGGGAAUCUUCCGCAAUGGACGCAAGUCUGACGGAGCAACGCCGCGUGAGUGAAGAAGGUCUUCGGAUCGUAAAGCUCUGUUGUUAGAGAAGAACAGCGCAUAGAGUAACU